UGGGGAAUAUUGCACAAUGGGCGCAAGCCUGAUGCAGCCAUGCCGCGUGUAUGAAGAAGGCCUUCGGGUUGUAAAGUACUUUCAGUCGGGAGGAAGGUGUCAAGGUUAAUAACCUUGGCAAUUGACGUUACCGACAGAAUAAGCACCGGCUAACUCCGUGCCAGCAGCCGCGGUAAUACGGAUGGUGCAAGCGUUAAUCGGAAUUACUGGGCGUAAAGCGCACGCAGGCGGUUGAUUGAGUCAGAUGUGAAAUCCCCGGGCUUAACCCGGGAAUUGCAUCUGAUACUGGUCAGCUAGAGUCUUGUAGAGGGGGGUAGAAUUCCAUGUGUAGCGGUGAAAUGCGUAGAGAUGUGGAGGAAUACCGGUGGCGAAGGCGGCCCCCUGGACAAAGACUGACGCUCAGGUGCGAAAGCGUGGGGAGCAAACAGG
Molecule: ribosomal RNA, 429 nt
Filed under: Chloroflexota bacterium
Lineage: Bacteria; Bacillati; Chloroflexota
Description: Chloroflexi bacterium partial 16S ribosomal RNA
Rfam family: Bacterial small subunit ribosomal RNA
Source: RNAcentral